RNAcentral lists this ribosomal RNA (401 nucleotides) under uncultured bacterium. RNAcentral's name for it is "bacterial SSU rRNA". It matches the Rfam family "Bacterial small subunit ribosomal RNA", at positions 975 to 1375 of the family's 1533-position model. The record is from RNAcentral.
CUGGGCUAGACAACGGCGGACCGUCCUAGAAAUAGGAUUUUCCCUUCGGGGACUGCCGGUUCAGGUGCUGCAUGGCUGUCGUCAGCUCGUGCCGUGAGGUGUUGGGUUAAGUCCCGCAACGAGCGCAACCCUCGUCCUUAGUUGCCACCAUUCAGUUGGGCACUCUAGGGAGACUGCCGGCGUUAAGCCGGAGGAAGGUGGGGACGACGUCAAGUCAUCAUGGCCCUUAUGUCCAGGACGACACACGUGCUACAAUGGCCGGUACAGAGCGUCGCAAGCCCGCGAGGGGGAGCCAAUCGCCAAAAGCCGGUCUAAGUGCGGAUUGGAGUCUGCAACUCGACUCCAUGAAGUCGGAAUCGCAAGUAAUCGUGGAUCAGCCAUGCCACGGUGAAUACGUUCCC